ACUGUGGAGCAUAGAGUUGAUUGUGUACAUACGAAGGCAAAAAGUUUUAUACAAAGUUGGUUGACAUCAACAGAUGUCUGACAAUGCAUUGGAUAUGGAAUCUGAGGAUCAGAUAGAGGAUGGGGAGUUACUGAGAAGUCCACUGAAACAGUCUCCAAUACAGUUGUCGAAGGAAAUGGAUGACACGGUUUUCACAAUGUCAGAAGAGGAGGCAGAUGACACUGCAGAUUCAUUAGACAUUAAACCACCACAAGCUGCAAUUCUGCAUCAUCAUCAUCACAAAUCGAGCUCACGCAGUGGUGGAAGCACCAAGCGUGACAAGCACUCUGAAAGCGGACGCCGAGAUCAUGUUCAUCCUAACAAGUCUGAUGCGUCAUCGAGGAGAAAAACCCAUCACAGAUCUAGGGAGCACAGGGAGCGUAGAGAAGAGCGAAUCAGAGAGAAACAUCAUCACAGAGAGAGACGAGAACAGAUGCCUACCAGUCGUGGUGAGUCAAAGCGUUCUUCUGAUGGAAGAGGAGGUGGUAGCAGCAGCAGUAGUAAACAGCAGCAGCAGGAGAGGGGAGACCGUAUGUUGGAGGAUCUGCGAGAACGUCUUUUGGAUAAAAGAAGGGCCCAGGAAAGCUCUGAUAGAAGAAUUAAGAUGGAUCAACGAAGUCGACGCUCACAGCAACAACAACAGGAUAUGAUGAUGCAGCAACACCAACAACAGAUGCAGCAACAACCGCCACCACCACCAGUUAGACAUGAGACAGCACGGGAAAAAGCAGAGAGACUCGAAAAAGAGUUAAGGAAAGAACGGCUUUUGGAAGCAGACCGGGAAAUGGUUCGCCAGAAAGAGGUAUACAGGAGAGAACUAGAAGCCAGACGAGAGCGACGCCACUUAGAGAAAGAAAAAGAACGUACCUUACACGAGGUCAGCAUGAAGGGAGAGCGAAGUGAGAGCCGUGAGCGAAAGAGACGAAAGCUGGAAAGUGGUGAACAACAAAGUGAAUCUGAUGGUGAAGAUGUACUUGGUAAAGAUGAACUUAUGGUGGUUACUCUGUCAGAUGAUUCAGAUGGUUCACAAGAAGAAAGAAUGGAGACAAACUCAGGUGCAAAUGUUUCCGCAGGAGAAGGUGAUAUAGUAGUAGAAGAAGUGUCGAGUGGAGGUGAGGAAGCUUCAAGUGAUGUAGAAGAAGAAGAAGAUGAUGAUGAUGAGGAAGAAGACAGUGAAACGAGUUCUGGGUCAGAUGAUGAUGGAGCAGCAGCUGCUGAUACUGAUGACUCACGUGGACAUCACACUGAAAAUGAAGAAUAUGAAGGUAGUCCUGGAUCUGUAAAGAGGGAGCGGGAUAGUCCUGAGAGAGAAAGUCCUCCUGCAGCAGCUGUUGGAGUAAAUGAGAAAAAACCUACAAAAACAGAUGAGAAUGGCAUACCAUUCAUCAGUGAUUCGCCGAAGGCCGAGAAUGCAUUGAAAGAAGAAUUGCCCCCAUACCUCCCUGCCAUCCAAGGAUGUCGUAACGUGGAAGAGUUUCAGUGUUUAAAUAGGAUUGAAGAAGGGACGUAUGGUGUAGUGUAUCGUGCUCGUGAUAAACGAACCAGUGAAGUGGUAGCACUGAAAAGAUUAAAGAUGGAGAAAGAGAAAGAAGGUUUUCCAAUUACGUCACUAAGAGAAAUUAAUACACUUCUGAAGGCCCAGCAUCCAAACAUAGUGACUGUACGUGAAAUAGUUGUGGGCAGUAACAUGGAUAAAAUUUUUAUUGUUAUGGACUACGUGGAACAUGAUUUGAAGUCACUAAUGGAGACCAUGAAACAAAAGAAGCAGGUGUUUAUUCCAGGUGAAGUGAAGUGUCUUAUGCAGCAACUUUUGCGUGCAGUAGCCCAUUUACAUGACAACUGGAUAUUGCACCGUGAUCUCAAGACAUCUAAUCUACUACUGAGCCAUAAGGGGAUACUGAAGGUUGGCGAUUUUGGCUUGGCUCGUGAAUAUGGUUCUCCGCUGAAACCGUAUACUCCAGUAGUUGUAACACUUUGGUAUCGAGCACCGGAACUACUACUGUGUACAAAGGAAUACUCAACGCCUGUCGAUAUGUGGUCAGUGGGCUGUAUAUUUGGUGAAUUCUUGUCAAUGGAAGCACUUUUUCCAGGGAAGACUGAAGUAGAUCAGUUAAACAGGAUAUUCAAGGAUCUGGGCACUCCGAAUGAGAAAAUUUGGCCUGGUUACAGUAAGCUUCCUGCUGUUCAGAAGAUGACAUUUGCUGAAUAUCCUGUAAAUCAGUUGCGCAACAGGUUUGGUGCUAUGAUUACUGAUGUUGGUAUGGACCUUAUGAACAGGUUUUUAACAUAUGACCCAGCACAACGCAUCACCGCCGAAGCAGCCUUAAACCAUGAUUACUUUAAGGAGGCACCUUUACCUAUUGACCCUGCUAUGUUUCCAACAUGGCCAGCAAAGAGUGAGCUUGGACAUCGCAAAGCAGCUGCUGCUUCUCCUAAACCACCACCUGGUGGUCAUGAAUAUAAGCAACUAGGAGAUGAUGAAGAAGUCCCUGCUGGUGGGUUUCACAUGGGUGUUGUUGAGAAAGGACGUGUUGCAGUUGGAGCUGGCUUCAGCCUGAAAUUCUGAAUUACUGGAAACACAGAAUUUACCUUUGUGUUUUCACGAAGGUUAUUUGAUUCUGUGCAUCAUUGAUUAAGGUUAACAUUGUCGUGAAAUUAGUGUGAUGGCGGUAUCAGUGGAACUUAAUUUAUGCUGAACUUAGCUGGAUGGUUAGCACAAAGGAGAUCAAUUAGCCAAACUGAAGACUGAAGCAAAUAUUUGGACAUUUCUUGAGUAUUCUUCUUGCUGUAACACAAUCAUAAUGAAGUGGUUUAAAAUGUUAUAUGAUGUGCUGCUGCCACAUGGUCCUUCAUAAAUUUGGGGAGAAACAACUGAAUGCAAAUCUGAUUCAGCAAACGUACUUAAAGAAAAAACUGUUGUUAGUAACUGACAUGGAAAACCAUAUGAAACUAUUGUGCGUCUAUCUCAUCCUCGUCAAAAUCUUCUGCAUUCUUAAAUACAAGUAGUAAAAGAAAAAAAUGCUGAAUGUGUUCAGAGAGCAGAAAAAGUCAUAAACCAGAGAAUCAUGAGCAAAUAUCCCCACAUCUUUCUUCUUAUUUGUAUUUUUUAGAACAACCUUUUUGUCUCUGUGCUCAUAAGGCUAGUCUUUUUACGUUUCAACCAAACUCAUGCUAACAGUGUGUGCCUAUUAACAUUGGAAAAACAAAAAGAAAGCAAAUAUAUUGACUGCUGUAUUUAGUAUGCUCUGCAACCUAUUGGGAGCCGUUUACAUUUAUGUAAUUUGAGAAUAAAAGUUGAUGGAAUAGUUUGAAAGGUGUGUUGUUACAUAUAAUUUUUUAUAUUUGAUAUUUUCUCUCAAAUAGCAAUGACUGAAAAUAGGAUAGUGUGACUAAGUAAGGGAUUGGAAAAUUAGUGCUCUGCAGAUUCAUGUAUUAAUGGAACACUGAAUGUUUUGUCCCAUUUAUGCAGCUUGUGGUAGAACUGAUUUUCAUUUAUUUCAUAUUAGUUGUAGAAUUCUUUUCCCUUAAUUUUCAAAAUGUGUCACGUUAAAAAUUAUAUGCAUUUGUUCAAUGUCACACUCUUGAUAUUAAAAGAAGUAUUGGGUAUUGAUAUUCCAAAACUAGCAAUGGGACUUCAGUUUUUCUCUGCUUCUUGGAAUUUUGGCAGCAAGUUUUGCCUGCCUUUCAGCUCACCAUUUUGCAACCCAUAAUUUCAAUUCCCUCUUUUGGUACGUCAAAGAUUCAAUUGUGUUUUUAGAAACAUUUAUUCACUCUCCAGUUAUUGCCCAGCUGCUCCUGCAGAUGAGGUGUUCUAACCAUUAGCAUUCUUUGUAUGUAGUUGGUUUAUAGUUGUAUUCCUUAGAAGCAUAUUUUGAGAGAUGGCAAAUCCCAUCACUGAUUUAGGUUUUUCUGGCAUGAUUGUUUGUUCUUUCUUCUAAGAUUUCCACCAAACUACACCCAAUCGUGCUCUUAAUGGUGACACAUGAAUUAGAUGUCUCACUGUUAAAAUCAUUUUGGCUGUUGUGAAAGGAGGACUAAUACUGGUUAUGAUGCUCUGCUGAUAUCAUCUAGAAACCUCUGAAAAAUUCUGUGUAAAACUAUGAAAACACAGGAGAGAUGUUUCUUUGCCUCACAUGCAGAUACUGAGAAAAUGUAUGUUUCAUGUUGGGGAGUAAUGACAGCCAUGUUGUGUGAAAAUAGAGGACCAUGCAAAUCAAAUGACAUUUUGAUAUUAGACCAAGAAGAAAGAAAAAGUAGUAUAAACAUGAUUGUUAGCAGCUGAUAACUGACACAAAUAUUUCACUGUUAUCUGAUUACAUAUUGAAAACAUUCUAAACUGGUUAAAAUAAAUAAUUUGAGCUCAUGAAAAAUCACACAUUCUAUGUUUUAAUGUGAGAGAGAAGUUAGAUAAAUGCAGACCUAAUUUUUUUCCAGUCUUCAAAGAAAAAGAUAUGAAAAUAUGGUAUUUCUCCUUACGCAAAUCUCUGCCCCAGUGCCUCAUUUUCUGGAAUAAUUUUCUUUCUCAAAAUUCCAAACUUUGUUUCUUUGCAGUGCAGAUUAAAGAGUUAGUUUUAUUUAUGUCUAUGAAUUCCUUUUUCAAAUAGUAUUUUUCCAUUUCAGUCUUGACACAAAUAUUUAAUCAAGACCAGAACUGCAUUCCAUGUUUCAGUUGUAUUUUGAAUGUGAUAUUUUUUCAUUAUUUUGGCUUAGUUCCAUUAUCAAGGGCUUCUGAAACACAGUUACAUCAAUUUAUUACAUAUAAAUUGCCACAGCAGAAACUUAUUUUGGAAAUUACACAGAUUGUAAUGGCUGAUAGCAGGAGAAACUGCUUAAUGUUAUUUUGCAAUGUGUGGUGAGUUGUAGUCAGUAUGUGGUGUUUGUGGUUCUCCUUCAUGUCUGGUAUUUCAGGAAUUGAGUGACUUGUUUCAAUGCUUCAUAUUUCAAAAAUAUUUUAUUCAGGAAGUGAUAAUUCUAUAACUGUACCAAUAUUGGCAGUGAGACUUUGUUGCCACAGAAAAAGUCUUGUCGUGAAAUUUAUUAUUGAUUAUUUACAUAUAAGGAACUCUGUGUAAACUUUGAUGAGUAAGGACGUAGUGACAGAAAUAUAGUUCCUAUUACAAAGUAUCUUGUGUCUAUUUUUAUCAGCUAUGUAUAGCACUAUCAGUUAUCUGUCAUUGCAAAAAUUGCUUGUUAAUGUGUCAUACUCUAGGGAAAAAUUGCAAGCAGUACAUAACAGGUUUGUAGUAAAACAAUGAUCUCUUUGUGUUGUUACAGAAUUUUCUGAAAAAAUUGUUAUAAUGAUUCUUUGUGACAUAUUAUCGAAAUAUGUAUCUGUUGUAAAUAAA
This 5384-nucleotide unclassified non-coding RNA is filed under the name Schistocerca americana (American grasshopper). Its description in RNAcentral is "cyclin-dependent kinase 11B, transcript variant X6". The record is from RNAcentral. Lineage: Eukaryota; Metazoa; Arthropoda; Insecta; Orthoptera; Acrididae.